UUCCGAAAUGGCACGUCCAAAAUACGAUGAUGAAGCAAUUUUUUGAAAUCUUAAAAUAUAACAACAUUGGGGGCAAUUAAUUUCUUCCAACGAGGCCUACAUCCAUCAUAUCAGAUUUCAACGUUCCAAGCCCAUCAAACACAUUAUCAUAAAUUUAUCAGUCCUAGAUUGUACAGUCUACAAGUGAACAAUUCUCUCAUUUUUAUUUGCAGGUGUACUCUUCGCUCUUGAUAGUGCAAGUCUGGCACUUGACUUCGCAGCACCAGUGGAAUUUGCAGUUGCACUGAUGGGAGACGUGGUUGAACUGGUGGGUGUUGUACCCCCGUCCACAGCAGAGCAGGUUGCAGCCAUCAGCACCUAUUACAGAAUAGAGAGAACAAGUUACCUGUUGAGGUUCGAUUACACCUCCUGCCGACGACACCCAGCGACCCCGUCGACGGGUUCGCCUCGCAGUAGUUUGGCGAAGAGUUGAGAAACACCAGCUCCGAGAGACGGGGCUUGUUGUGCGGCUUCCU
Molecule: long non-coding RNA, 515 nt
Organism: Daphnia pulicaria
Lineage: Eukaryota; Metazoa; Arthropoda; Branchiopoda; Diplostraca; Daphniidae
Exons: 3
Source: RefSeq, a predicted model, not a curated record